RNAcentral lists this ribosomal RNA (530 nucleotides) under uncultured fungus. Its description in RNAcentral is "eukaryotic LSU rRNA". The stretch from base 188 to 341 matches the Rfam family "5.8S ribosomal RNA". The record is from RNAcentral. Lineage: Eukaryota; Fungi.
AAGUCGUAACAAGGUUUCCGUAGGUGAACCUGCGGAAGGAUCAUUACAGAAAGUAAACGCGGAUCACACCGCGAACUUCUAAACCUUUGACGAUUGACUCAUGUUGCCUCGGCGGGUUCUCCCGCCAGAGGAUACAUUAAAACUCCUGUAUUCAACGGUGUUGUCUGAGCUACAAGCAACGAAUCAAAACCUUCAACAACGGAUCUCUUGGUUCUGGCAUCGAUGAAGAACGCAGCGAAAUGCGAUAAGUAGUGUGAAUUGCAGAAUUCAGUGAAUCAUCGAAUCUUUGAACGCACAUUGCGCCCCUUGGUAUCCCGGGGGGCAUGCCUGUUCGAGCGUCAUUUCACCACUCAAGCCUGGCUUGGUGUUGGGCGACGUCCCCUUCAGGGACGCGCCUCGAAACGCUCGGCGGCGUGGCACCGGCUUUAAGCGUAGCAGAAUCUUUCGCUUCAAAAGUCGGGGCCCCGUCUGCCGGAAGACCUACUCGCAAGGUUGACCUCGGAUCAGGCAGGGAUACCCGCUGAACUUAA